AUGAAGACCCAGGUUUUCAUAUCCCUGCUGCUUUGGGUGUCUGGUGCCUGUGCAGACAUUGUGAUGACCCAGUCUCCAUCCUCCCUGGCCAUGUCAGCAGGAGAGAAAGUCUCCAUUAGCUACAGGUCCAGUCAGAGCCUUUUAUACAGCAAAGACCAAAAGAACUAUUUGUCCUGGUACCAGCAGAAACCAGGGCAGUCCCCUAAGCUGCUGGUCUACUUGGCAUCCACUAGGUAUACUGGGAUCCCUGAUCGCUUCACAGGGAGUGGAUCUGGGACAGAUUUCACUCUCAGCAUUAGCAGUGUGCAGGAUGAAGACCUGGCAGUUUAUUACUGUAUGCAAAGUUACAGUGCUCCUCCCACAGUGCUUCAGCCUCCAACAAAAACCUUCUUAUCAGCUGCCUGCAGCCCUGGCCCUGCACACUUCCCUCUUCUGCAUGAUAGCAGGUGUCCCUGA
Molecule: non-coding RNA, 456 nt
Organism: Psammomys obesus (fat sand rat)
Lineage: Eukaryota; Metazoa; Chordata; Mammalia; Rodentia; Muridae
Source: the annotation of a RefSeq genome assembly